AUUGAACGCUGGCGGCAUGCUUUACACAUGCAAGUCGAGCGGUAACAGGCCUUCGGGUGCUGACGAGUGGCGAACGGGUGAGUAAUGCAUCGGAACGUACCCAGAGGUGGGGGAUAACGCAGCGAAAGCUGUGCUAAUACCGCAUGUGAUCUGAGGAUGAAAGCGGGGGACCGAGCAGCAAUGUUUGGCCUCGCGCCUUUGGAGCGGCCGAUGUCGGAUUAGCUAGUUGGUGGGGUAAAGGCCUACCAAGGCGACGAUCCGUAGCUGGUCUGAGAGGACGACCAGCCACACUGGGACUGAGACACGGCCCAGACUCCUACGGGAGGCAGCAGUGGGGAAUUUUGGACAAUGGGCGCAAGCCUGAUCCAGCAAUGCCGCGUGCGGGAAGAAGGCCUUCGGGUUGUAAACCGCUUUUGGCAGGAGCGAAACGGUGUCCGCUAAUACCGGGCGCUAAUGACGGUACCUGCAGAAUAAGCACCGGCUAACUACGUG
Molecule: ribosomal RNA, 492 nt
Filed under: uncultured bacterium
Lineage: Bacteria
Description: partial 16S ribosomal RNA
Rfam family: Bacterial small subunit ribosomal RNA
Source: RNAcentral